RNAcentral lists this ribosomal RNA (432 nucleotides) under uncultured bacterium. RNAcentral describes it as "bacterial SSU rRNA". It matches the Rfam family "Bacterial small subunit ribosomal RNA", at positions 29 to 507 of the family's 1533-position model. The record is from RNAcentral.
AACGAACGCUGGCGGCAGGCCUAACACAUGCAAGUCGAGCGCACUUUUCGGAGUGAGCGGCGGACGGGUUAGUAACGCGUGGGAAUAUGCCCAAUGGUACGGAAUAGCCUCUGGAAACGGAGAGUAAUACCGUAUGUGCCCUUCGGGGAAAGAUUUAUCGCCAUUGGAUUAGCCCGCGUCUGAUUAGAUAGUUGGUGGGGUAACGGCCUACCAAGUCGACGAUCAGUAGCUGGUUUGAGAGGAUGAUCAGCAACACUGGGACUGAGACACGGCCCAGACUCCUACGGGAGGCAGCAGUGGGGAAUCUUAGACAAUGGGCGCAAGCCUGAUCUAGCCAUGCCGCGUGAGUGAUGAAGGCCUUAGGGUCGUAAAGCUCUUUCGCCUGUGAAGAUAAUGACUGUAGCAGGUAAAGAAACCCCGGCUAACUCCGUG